RNAcentral lists this unclassified non-coding RNA (87 nucleotides) under Pseudomonas psychrophila. Lineage: Bacteria; Pseudomonadati; Pseudomonadota; Gammaproteobacteria; Pseudomonadales; Pseudomonadaceae. The record is from RNAcentral.
UGUAGGAGCGGGCUUGCUCGCGAUGCAGACUAGUCGGUCUGUCGGUCAAGCCGCGCGGAUACGAUCGCGAGCAAGCCCGCUCCCACA